Molecule: ribosomal RNA, 331 nt
Filed under: uncultured eukaryote
Lineage: Eukaryota
Description: partial 18S ribosomal RNA
Rfam family: Eukaryotic small subunit ribosomal RNA
Source: RNAcentral
CCCUUAGAUGCUCUGGGCCGCACGCGCGCUACACUGACGAAGUCAGCGAGCAUGUCCUACGCCGACAGGUGCGGGGAAUCUUGUCAAACUUCGUCGUGAUGGGGAUUGAUUUUUGAAAUUCUUGAUCAUAAACGAGGAAUUCCUAGUAAGCGCAAGUCAGCAGCUUGCGUUGAUUACGUCCCUGCCCUUUGUACACACCGCCCGUCGCUACUACCGAUUGAAUGGUUUAGUGAGAUCUUCGGAUUGGCGCCACUGCAGCUCAGCAAUGGGCUUGGUGGAUGCCGAAAAGUUGAUCAAACUUGAUCAUUUAGAGGAAGUAAAAGUCGUAACA